RNAcentral lists this ribosomal RNA (1315 nucleotides) under Edaphochlamys cf. debaryana WS2. Its description in RNAcentral is "eukaryotic LSU rRNA". The stretch from base 1 to 630 matches the Rfam family "Eukaryotic small subunit ribosomal RNA", at positions 1178 to 1831 of the family's 1831-position model. Lineage: Eukaryota; Viridiplantae; Chlorophyta; Chlorophyceae; Chlamydomonadales. The record is from RNAcentral.
GGAGCCUGCGGCUUAAUUUGACUCAACACGGGGAAACUUACCAGGUCCAGACACGGGAAGGAUUGACAGAUUGAGAGCUCUUUCUUGAUUCUGUGGGUGGUGGUGCAUGGCCGUUCUUAGUUGGUGGGUUGCCUUGUCAGGUUGAUUCCGGUAACGAACGAGACCUCAGCCUGCUAAAUAGUCAGCAUCGCACCUGCGGUGCGCCGACUUCUUAGAGGGACUAUUGGCGUUUAGCCAAUGGAAGUAUGAGGCGAUAACAGGUCUGUGAUGCCCUUAGAUGUUCUGGGCCGCACGCGCGCUACACUGAUGCGUUCAACGAGCCUAUCCUUUGCCGAGAGGCACGGGUAAUCUUGAAAACCGCAUCGUGAUGGGGAUAGAUUAUUGCAAUUAUUAGUCUUCAACGAGGAAUGCCUAGUAAGCGCGAGUCAUCAGCUCGCGUUGAUUACGUCCCUGCCCUUUGUACACACCGCCCGUCGCUCCUACCGAUUGGGUGUGCUGGUGAAGUGUUCGGAUUGAUCUUGGCUGGGGCAACCUGGCCUUGAUUGAAAAAGUUCAUUUAAACCCUCCCACCUAGAGGAAGGAGAAGUCGUAACAAGGUUUCCCGUAGGUGAACCUGCGGAAGGAUCAUUGAAUCUAUCACAAUCCACACCGCGAACCAUCAUUGUUGCCUUCUGAAGUGGGUCAAACCGCCUCAGAGCCGGGGGUCGUAAGCUGAAACAUUGCUUGCGUGCUCCCGGGUCGUCUGGCAUGCGCUUGCCGCAUGUUGGGCGUCGGUCUUAUCUAUACUAACCAACCAACACCAAACCAAAUCUAAUCUAUAAACCGAGUGCUUGGCUUAGAGCCAACGCUCACCAACCAAGACAACUCUCAACAACGGAUAUCUUGGGCUCUCGGAUCGAUGAAGAACGCAGCGAAAUGCGAUACGUAGUGUGAAUUGCAGAAAUACGUGAAUCAUCGAAUCUUUGAACGCAAAUUGCGCUCGAGGCUUCGGCCAAGAGCAUGUCUGCCUCAGCGUCGGGUUAAUACUCGCUCCUAAUCCUCCUUCGGGUUGUGAUUGGGAACGGAACUGGCUUUCCCGGCUUGGUUCACUCUAAGCCGGGUCUGCUGAAGUGCAGAGGUUGAUGCAUGGACCCGCUAAAGGGCCUCUACUGGGUAGGCAAUUCAUUGCUAAUGCUUUAGUAGAUGGCUUGGGUAGAUGCCUGUCGACCCUAACCAGGAACUUGGAGCCUUGCGCUCUAAGCAACCCCCUUAUUUUCUCGACCUGAGCUCAGGCAAGAACACCCGCUGAACUUAAGCAUAUCAAUAAGCGGAGAAA